This 422-nucleotide ribosomal RNA is filed under the name uncultured archaeon. Its description in RNAcentral is "partial 16S ribosomal RNA". It matches the Rfam family "Archaeal small subunit ribosomal RNA", at positions 323 to 746 of the family's 1478-position model. The record is from RNAcentral.
CUACGGGCCGCACCAGGCGAGAAAACUUUGCAAUGUGCGAAAGCACGACAAGGUUAAUCCGAGUGGUUUGUGCUAAACGAACCUUUUGACAGUCCUAGAAACACUGUUGAAUAAGGGGUGGGCAAGUUCUGGUGUCAGCCGCCGCGGUAAAACCAGCACCUCAAGUGGUCAGGAUGAUUAUUGGGCCUAAAGCAUCCGUAGCCGGCGCUGUAAGUUUUCGGUUAAAUCUGUACGCUCAACGUACAGGCUGCCGGGAAUACUGCAGAGCUAGGGAGUGGGAGAGGUAGACGGUACUCGGUAGGAAGGGGUAACAUCCUUUGAUCUAUUGAUGACCACCUGUGGCGAAGGCGGUCUACCAGAACACGUCCGACGGUGAGGGAUGAAAGCUGGGGGAGCAAACCGGAUUAGAUACCCCGGUAGUC